RNAcentral lists this transfer RNA (65 nucleotides) under Heterocephalus glaber (naked mole-rat). It matches the Rfam family "tRNA". From Rfam's summary of the family: Transfer RNA (tRNA) molecules are approximately 80 nucleotides in length. Their secondary structure includes four short double-helical elements and three loops (D, anti-codon, and T loops). Lineage: Eukaryota; Metazoa; Chordata; Mammalia; Rodentia; Bathyergidae. The record is from Rfam by way of RNAcentral.
GGUUUGGCUCAGUGUCAUAGCACUUACCUGGCAUGCAAGAGACCAUGGGUUCAAUCCCCAGAACC